GCCCACGUAGCUCAGCUGGUAGAGCGCAUCCUUGGUAAGGAUGAGGUCACCGGUUCGAUUCCGGUCGUGGGCUCCA
This 76-nucleotide transfer RNA is filed under the name Lentisphaerota bacterium. RNAcentral describes it as "Lentisphaerae bacterium (anaerobic digester metagenome) tRNA-Thr". It matches the Rfam family "tRNA". Rfam says of the family: Transfer RNA (tRNA) molecules are approximately 80 nucleotides in length. Their secondary structure includes four short double-helical elements and three loops (D, anti-codon, and T loops). Lineage: Bacteria; Pseudomonadati; Lentisphaerota. The record is from RNAcentral.